UUUUCAACUCAAAAGGAAAAGCCUCACGUUUAUAUAUACUAAAAAGUAUACAAUCCGAAUCCACUAAUUAAAUUGGAGUGCACAAGUGGCCAUUUAUAAACGUUAAUUGGAUGAAUAUUAUUAUAGGACAACUUUAUUUAUUUAUUUUUAAAUCAUCAUUAGUAAAAUGAUUAAAGAACAAAGGAAACAAACCAACCAACUGAACCGGCAUUACCUGCCGGCCGGGUACACCAUUAUGUAAUUACUAACCUAAACAAAUUCUACCCUAAUUACAAGUACUUCAACGUUUUACUCCCGUCCAUUUGUACUUUUCUCUCUCUUUCACUCUCUCUGUCACUUGUACUUAUUUACAUCACCGUCCGUCCAAUAUCCACCGUCCGAUUAUCCUCUGUUCACAUCACGGAACACGAAUUUGGAUUCUCGUCGCUGAAUAUUUGCGGCGCAUGCAUUGGAUGGUGGUACACUGGUUCCAUAACAUACCCCUGCUGUACAUAUCCUUGUUGUACGUACCCAUGGUUCAUCAUAGGGUACCCUAGUCCUUGAUUCACCGCAUAAUACCCGUGUUGGGGCUCCACUGCGUAACUUUGACCAAACACUCCAUCUAACCAUUGUGUCGGCACCGGUGCUGGGAAGUACUCCAACUUGCUCACCUCCACCUUAGCUGCAGCCUCUUCCUUCUUGCCACCGUCUCCUUCUUUCUUUUCAGCUUUAGCUUCUUCUUUCUUCUCGGCCUUUGCUUCUUCUUUCUUCUCGCCGCCUCCUUCCUUCUUCUCUUCAUCUUUCUUAGGGGGAACUACCUCCACGUUCCUCUUGAGCUUCUCCUUGAGGUAAGGCACCAUUUCCUUCACUUCCAUUGUCCCCUUCACCGUGACUAGAUCUUUUGUUCCGUCCACUGUCACGUUAUCAACCCCUGUUCAUCAGCCAUUUCAGAUUUCCGUCAGCUUUGGAUUCUACGUUAAUCUCACUAUCAUAAUAUGAUUUAGAAUAACUAAUUAUUUAAAUACCUUUGUAUUUCAAGAUUAUCUUCUUUAUUUUUGAAAUGCAACCAUCGCAGUGUGUUAUGAUUUUCAAAACGACCGUACUCUGCAUCGUUUAGUUUAAUCACAGUUAGUUAAGCACUUGAUUUGGAUUUAAUCAACCAAAAACUCGAUAACAAUGGCACAUGAAUUAAGAAUUUGAUUAUUAACGGUGAAAAUUUUUACCUCUUUGGGCGGUUUCUUCUCCUCUGGUUUUUUCUCCUCCGGUUUCUUCUCUGCUUUUUCCUCUGGUUUCUUAUCGCCGCCGUCUUUCUUAGGCUGAGGAGACACAAUCUCCACUUUCUUCUUGGUUUUCUCUUCCACUCUCGCCUUCACAUUCGCCGGGUCUACUUUCCCGGUCACCGUCAGUUUGUUUCCUUCACAAUCUGUCUUCACGGCUUCCACACCUUCAAUAACCAAUUCAAUCGAUUAAUUUUCAGUUUGCUUAAAAGCAAUUUGAUUAAAUUUUAAAACACUUACCUUCUAACCGUCUAACUGCGCGUCUAAUUUUCUUGGCACAGCCCUCGCAAUGCAUGUCUAUCUUAUAAACGGAGAUGACCUUGGCGUCAUCUUUCUUAUCACCGGCGGCGCCAGCAUCGGCAGCAGGUUUCUUCUCUGCAUCACCCUUUGCAACAUCUUUCUGCUCAGCACCCAUUUGUUAGCCAAACAGCUAGAGAACCUAUUAGAGAAUGUGUUUAGUUGCUGGAAUCGUUU
Molecule: unclassified non-coding RNA, 1730 nt
Filed under: Hevea brasiliensis (rubber tree)
Lineage: Eukaryota; Viridiplantae; Streptophyta; Magnoliopsida; Malpighiales; Euphorbiaceae
Source: RNAcentral